AGAGUUUGAUCCUGGCUCAGGAUGAACGCUAGCGACAGGCUUAACACAUGCAAGUCGAGGGGCAGCGGGGUAGUAAGCUUGCUUACUACUGCCGGCGACCGGCGCACGGGUGAGUAACACGUAUGCAACCUGGCCGUCACAGAGGGAUAACCGGGAGAAAUCCCGCCUAAUACCGCAUAAUACCGGGGAAGGACAUCCUUUUCCGGUUAAAGGAGCGAUCCGGUGACGGAUGGGCAUGCGCCGCAUUAGUUAGUUGGCGGUGUAACGGACCACCAAGACGACGAUGCGUAGGGGUUCUGAGAGGAAGGUCCCCCACACUGGUACUGAGACACGGACCAGACUCCUACGGGAGGCAGCAGUGAGGAAUAUUGGUCAAUGGGCGAGAGCCUGAACCAGCCAAGUCGCGUGAGGGAAGACGGCCCUAUGGAUUGUAAACCUCUUUUGCCGGGGAGCAAAAAGCGGUACGCGUACCGCAUCGAGAGUACCCGGAGAAAAAGCAUCGGCUAACUCCGUG
Molecule: ribosomal RNA, 514 nt
Filed under: uncultured Porphyromonadaceae bacterium
Lineage: Bacteria; Pseudomonadati; Bacteroidota; Bacteroidia; Bacteroidales; Porphyromonadaceae
Description: bacterial SSU rRNA
Rfam family: Bacterial small subunit ribosomal RNA
Source: RNAcentral